Molecule: ribosomal RNA, 254 nt
Filed under: uncultured bacterium
Lineage: Bacteria
Description: partial 16S ribosomal RNA
Rfam family: Bacterial small subunit ribosomal RNA
Source: RNAcentral
UACGUAGGCAGCGAGCGUUGUUCGGAGUUACUGGGCGUAAAGGGUGUGUAGGCGGUUAUUUAAGUUUGGUGUGAAAUCUCCCGGCUCAACCGGGAGGGUGCGCCGAAUACUGAAUGACUUGGAGUGCGGGAGAGGUGAGUGGAAUUCCUGGUGUAGCGGUGAAAUGCGUAGAUAUCAGGAGGAACACCGGUGGUGUAGACGGCUAUCUGGACCGUAACUGACGCUGAGGCACGAAAGCGUGGGUAGCAAACAGG